CCCCUCUCAGGGUGGCACUGGAGAGUUUCCAGUAAUCUGCCAGUCUCGACUAUGGGAGGGAGAGUCAGGCAGAGGCAUACCCAUUCCAUUUCUAGCUUGGACAGUGGCUAGCAAGUGGAAGGUGAUCUGCUACAGAU
Molecule: small nucleolar RNA, 137 nt
Organism: Tachyglossus aculeatus (Australian echidna)
Lineage: Eukaryota; Metazoa; Chordata; Mammalia; Monotremata; Tachyglossidae
Source: RefSeq, a predicted model, not a curated record